UGGGGCGGUCUCCUCCCAAAGAGUAACGGAGGAGCACGAAGGUGCGCUAAGCAUGGUCGGACAUCAUGCGGUUAGUGUAAUGGCAUAAGCGCGCUUAACUGCGAGACAGACACGUCGAGCAGGUACGAAAGUAGGUCAUAGUGAUCCGGUGGUUCUGUAUGGAAGGGCCAUCGCUCAACGGAUAAAAGGUACUCCGGGGAUAACAGGCUGAUACCGCCCAAGAGUUCACAUCGACGGCGGUGUUUGGCACCUCGAUGUCGGCUCAUCACAUCCUGGGGCUGAAGCCGGUCCCAAGGGUAUGGCUGUUCGCCAUUUAAAGUGGUACGCGAGCUGGGUUUAGAACGUCGUGAGACAGUUCGGUCCCUAUCUGCCGUGGACGUUGGAAAAUUGAGAAGAGCUGCUCCUAGUACGAGAGGACCGGAGUGGACGAACCCCUGGUGUUCGGGUUGUGUCGCCAGACGCAUUGCCCGGUAGCUACGUUCGGACAGGAUAACCGCUGAAAGCAUCUAAGCGGGAAGCCCCCUUCAAGAUAAGUUUUCCCUGGGAAUUUAAUUCCCCUAAAGAGCCGUUAAAGACUAUGACGUUGAUAGGCUGGGUGUGUAAGUGCGGUAACGUAUUGAGCUAACCAGUACUAAUUGCUCGUGAGGCUUAACUAUAUAACGCCCAAG
This 668-nucleotide ribosomal RNA is filed under the name Oleiphilus sp. HI0117. RNAcentral's name for it is "bacterial LSU rRNA". It matches the Rfam family "Bacterial large subunit ribosomal RNA", at positions 2275 to 2925 of the family's 2925-position model. Lineage: Bacteria; Pseudomonadati; Pseudomonadota; Gammaproteobacteria; Oceanospirillales; Oleiphilaceae. The record is from RNAcentral.